RNAcentral lists this ribosomal RNA (2305 nucleotides) under human gut metagenome. RNAcentral describes it as "bacterial LSU rRNA". It matches the Rfam family "Bacterial large subunit ribosomal RNA", at positions 3 to 2322 of the family's 2925-position model. The record is from RNAcentral.
UCAAGCUACUAAGGGCAUACGGUGGAUGCCUAGGCGCCAAGAGCCGAAGAAGGACGCGGUAAGCUGCGAAAAGCCACGGGGAACUGCAAGCAAGUAUUGAUCCGUGGAAAUCCGAAUGGGGAAACCCGGCCAUCGUCAUGGAUGGUCACCCGCAAGGGAGGGAACCUGGGGAACUGAAACAUCUAAGUACCCGGAGGAAGAGAAAUCAAACGAGAUGCCCACAGUAGCGGCGAGCGAAGAGGGCAGAGCCCAAACCGAGAAGCUCCGGCUUUUCGGGGUUGAGGACCGGCAGAAUCGAAGUCAGGCCUAGUCGAAUUACCUGGAAAGGUAAGCGAGAGAGGGUAAAAGCCCCGUAGACGAAAGGCAGAGCAGAGAGGCCGAGAUCCAGAGUACCACGAAGCACGAGGAAUUUUGUGGGAAGCAGGGGGGACCACCCUCCAAGGCUAAAAACUACUUGGCGACCGAUAGCGCAUAGUACCGUGAGGGAAAGGUGAAAAGAACCCCGGGAGGGGAGUGAAAUAGUACCUGAAACCGUAUGUCUACAAGCAGUCGAAGCGAAAGCGACGGCGUGCCUAUUGAAGAAUGAACCAACGAGUUAUCUGCACUAGCGAGGUUAAGUGGAAGACACGGAGCCGCAGCGAAAGCGAGUCUUAAGAGGGCGCUAGUUAGUGUAGGUAGACCCGAAACCGCAGUGAUCUACCCAUGUCCAGGUUGAAGCGCAGGUAAAAUUGCGUGGAGGACCGAACCGGUGAGCGUUGAAAAGCUUUCGGAUGAGAUGUGGGUAGGGGUGAAAUUCCAAUCGAACGCGGAGAUAGCUGGUUCUCCCCGAAAUAGCUUUAGGGCUAGCCUGAGGUAGUAAGUAUAGGCGGUAGAGCACUGAUCGGGCUAGGGGCCGUAAAGGUUACCGAACCCUGUCAAACUCCGAAUGGAUAUACUGUAGAGCCUUGGAGUCAGACUACGAGUGAUAAGAUCCGUGGUCAAAAGGGAAACAGCCCAGACCACCAGCUAAGGUCCCCAAUGUCGUACUAAGUGGAAAAGGAUGUGGGGUUUCAUAAACAACCAGGAUGUUGGCUCAGAAGCAGCCACCAUUUAAAGAGUGCGUAAUAGCUCACUGGUCGAGAGACCCUGCGCCGAAGAUUCCCGGGGCUAAAGUACGAAACCGAAGCUGUGGCUGUAUACGUAAAGUAUACGGGGUAGGGGAGCGUUCCCAUAGGGUAGAAGUCGAACUGGAAGGUUCGGUGGACUUGUGGGAAGUGAGAAUGUUGGUAUGAGUAGCGAAAAGAAAGGUGAGAAUCCUUUCCACCGAAAGCAUAAGGAUUCCUGAGCAACGAUCGUCGUCUCAGGGUAAGUCGGGACCUAAUCCGAGGCAGAGAGCGUAGGAGAUGGACAACUGGUUGAUAUUCCAGUACCGGUAGUAAUUGUUUGAGCAAUGGAGUGACACAGAAGGGCAGGCAAGCAUGCGAAUGGAAGAGCAUGUGUAAGCGUGUAGGGUGGUGCAUAGGCAAAUCCGUGCACUGAAAGCCUGAGGCGUGAUGCGGAGUGAGCAGAGAUGCGAGCGAAGUUGUUGACCCCACACUGUCGAGAAAAGCUUCUAGUGAGAGAGCUACCGCCCGUACCGUAAACCGACACAGGUAUGCGGGGAGAGAAUCCUAAGGUGCGCGGGAGAACCCUCGUUAAGGAACUCGGCAAAAUGUACCCGUAACUUCGGGAUAAGGGUAGCCACUGUUGUGAAGUCCCAUGCGGAUGGAGCAUAGAGUGGUCGCAGAGAAGAGGCCCAAGCGACUGUUUACCAUAAACACAGGUGCCUGCUAAAGCGAAAGCUGACGUAUAGGUGCUGACACCUGCCCAGUGCCGGAAGGUUAAGGAAGGAUGUUCGGAUUAGUCCAAAGCAUUCGACUGAAGCCCCGGUGAACGGCGGCCGUAACUAUAACGGUCCUAAGGUAGCGAAAUUCCUUGUCGGGUAAGUUCCGACCCGCACGAAAGGUGUAACGAUUUGGGCACUGUCUCAACGAGGGACCCGGUGAAAUUGAAAUACCUGUGAAGAUGCAGGUUACCCGCGACUGGACAGAAAGACCCCAUGGAGCUUUACUGUAACCUGACAUUGGGUUUUGAUACAUUACGUACAGGAUAGGUGGGAGGCUUGGAAAGCUGGACGCUAGUCUGGCUGGAGCCGACGUUGGGAUACCACCCUUGAUGUAUUGAAAUUCUAACCGCGAGAGUAACGAAAUCCGGGACAGUGUCAGGCGGGCAGUUUGACUGGGGCGGUCGCCUCCGAAAGAGUAACGGAGGCGCCCAAAGGUUCCCU